RNAcentral lists this ribosomal RNA (119 nucleotides) under Hucho hucho (huchen). Lineage: Eukaryota; Metazoa; Chordata; Actinopteri; Salmoniformes; Salmonidae. The record is from RNAcentral.
GCUUACGGCCAUACCAGCCUGAAAGCGCCCGAUCUCAUCAGAUCUCGGAAGCUAAGCAAGGUCGGGCCUGGUUAGUACUUGGAUGGGAGACUUCCUGGGAAUACCAGGUGCUGUAAGCA